RNAcentral lists this transfer RNA (72 nucleotides) under Acidimicrobiaceae bacterium. RNAcentral describes it as "tRNA-Thr". It matches the Rfam family "tRNA". Rfam says of the family: Transfer RNA (tRNA) molecules are approximately 80 nucleotides in length. Their secondary structure includes four short double-helical elements and three loops (D, anti-codon, and T loops). Further hydrogen bonds mediate the characteristic L-shaped molecular structure. tRNAs have two regions of fundamental functional importance: the anti-codon, which is responsible for specific mRNA codon recognition, and the 3' end, to which the tRNAs corresponding amino acid is attached (by aminoacyl-tRNA synthetases). tRNAs cope with the degeneracy of the genetic code in two manners: having more than one tRNA (with a specific anti-codon) for a particular amino acid; and 'wobble' base-pairing, i.e. permitting non-standard base-pairing at the 3rd anti-codon position. The record is from RNAcentral. Lineage: Bacteria; Bacillati; Actinomycetota; Acidimicrobiia; Acidimicrobiales; Acidimicrobiaceae.
GCCCGGGUAGCUCAGUGGCAGAGCGGCUCUCUCGUAAAGAGCAGGUCGAGAGUUCGAUUCUCUCCUCGGGCU